This 497-nucleotide ribosomal RNA is filed under the name uncultured bacterium. RNAcentral describes it as "partial 16S ribosomal RNA". It matches the Rfam family "Bacterial small subunit ribosomal RNA", at positions 28 to 507 of the family's 1533-position model. The record is from RNAcentral.
GAUGAACGCUGGCGGCGUGCCUAAUACAUGCAAGUCGAGCGAACAGAUGAGGAGCUUGCUCCUCUGACGUUAGCGGCGGACGGGUGAGUAACACGUGGAUAACCUACCUAUAAGACUGGGAUAACUUCGGGAAACCGGAGCUAAUACCGGAUAAUAUAUUGAACCGCAUGGUUCAAUAGUGAAAGACGGUUUUGCUGUCACUUAUGGAUGGAUCCGCGCCGCAUUAGCUAGUUGGUAAGGUAACGGCUUACCAAGGCAACGAUGCGUAGCCGACCUGAGAGGGUGAUCCACCACACUGGAACUGAGGCACUGUCCGGACUGCUACAGGAGGCAGCAGUAGGGAAUCUUCCGCAACAGGCGGCGGCCUGACGGCACAACGCCACGUGAGUGAUGUAGGUCUUCGGAUCGUAAAACUCUUUUAUUAGGGAAGAACAAAUGUGUCAGUAACUAUGCACGUCUUGACGGUACCUAAUCAGAAAGCCACGGCUAGCUACGUG